UACGGAGGGUGCAAGCAUUAAUCGGAUUUACUGGGCGUAAAGGGCGCGUAGGCGGCCAUGUAAGUCAGAUGUGAAAUUUCCGGGCUCAACCCUGAAACUGCAUUUGAAACUGCAAGUCUAGAGGAUAGGCGGAGAAAACAGAAUUCCACAAGUAGCGGUGAAAUGCGUAGAUAUGUGGAAGAAUACCGGUGGCGAUGGCGGUUUUCUAGCUUAUUCCUGACGCUAAAGCGCGAAAGCAAGGGGAU
This 245-nucleotide ribosomal RNA is filed under the name uncultured Parachlamydia sp. RNAcentral describes it as "partial 16S ribosomal RNA". It matches the Rfam family "Bacterial small subunit ribosomal RNA", at positions 524 to 768 of the family's 1533-position model. Lineage: Bacteria; Pseudomonadati; Chlamydiota; Chlamydiia; Parachlamydiales; Parachlamydiaceae. The record is from RNAcentral.